AACAUUAAAUAAACUAUUUCCUUGAAUAAAGCCAUUAACUUCAAAAUGAGUAUAUGCCGCUCUUUUGAGGAAAUUCAGAAUAUCAAAUACAAAAUAAAAAAUCAGGUAUAAGGUGGGGGACAGGAGACAGGAUGUAGGGUAAAGAGCCCAAUAUUUGAGGUCUAAUAGGAAAACUGAGGCUUGUAAAUUGAAUAAAACAUAUUUAGAAAAGUGAAACUGUAGUAUCUGCCAUUAUAAAACUGUUGGGAGCAUAAAAGAUAAAGCAUGAGAACUGAUACACAGUAAGUGCUCAACAAAUGUUAAUAUUAUUAUUUAUUAGGAAAACUGUUUGUUCUUAUUACUGGAUCUUGUGCAGCACAUGAAGAAUAAUUUUGUUCACCAAAAACCCAAACCAGAAUAGUGUUGAAGGUUUUCUUUGCAGUCCCCUUUUUUUAAACUUCAAUAGUUAUCUGAUCUUUUUUUUUUUUUUUUUUGUGGUAUGCGGGCCUCCCUCUGCUGUGGCCUCUCCCGUUGCGGAGCACAGGCUCCGGACGCGCAGGCCCAGCGGCCAUGGCUCACGGGCCCAGCCGCUCCGCGGCAUGUGGGAUCCUCCCAGACCGGGGCGCGAACCCGGUUCCCCCGCAUCGGCAGGCGGACGCGCAACCGCCGCGCCACCAGGGAAGCCCUGAUCUUUUUUAUAGAUCUAUUCAAUGAUAACUAUUUUCGAGCAAAGCAGUUACGGCAAGUUAUAAGAAAAUCAGGGGUUUUAAUUGCUUUUAUUAACCGAUUUAUUAACCUAAUACCGCUUAAAUGGUAAUCAUUCCAUUUUUAUCAUCAGAAAGACUUGUGAUUUAGUAGAAUGUACUGCUUCACUUUUCAAUAUGAUAAUUAACCUUAACAUCCACCUGCAAAGUACUCCACAGUCUUAACAGAAUAAAAUUAUCAUCAUCUAAAUCAUAAAGAUUUAGUAAAAAUGGUGAAGGCUGUCGUCCCUGCGACACUGUAUUCCUAAGAAGCAAAGAAGACUGUAAAAACAGUUUAAAACACACUCCCAUACACUCAAAAAAAUAGACUUUCUGUUCCAAAGUGCAUUCCAGCUUUGUGGACUGCUCAUGACUGUGCCGGAAAAUACAGGGUAAAAGGAUGCUGUUACUCUAUAACCUCACCUGAAGAACAAAGCUCUACGCACAGACCACUCCCUCUGCAACAGACCUUUAUUUGUGUGAGAAUGAUAUCCAAUAUAUUAAAAACAAUGUUAAAAACCAUUGGACCAGGGAGAGGUGUGAUGGAAAGGAAAAUGAGGGAGGCUUCUCAGGUGCUAGUAAUAUCCUGGUGCCAACAAAGUGGGCUUCACUGAACAAGUAAAUUAUCAGUGCCUUCAGGAUAUUCAGGGGCUAACGGGCGAGAAGAGAAUACACAUGAUCACAAGUAAGUCGCAGAGGAAGUGUCGGCUGUCUAGUCCCAUGGAAAGAAUUCACAGAGCAGAGUAAAGAAGACUGGGCGUGCUGAGGCAGGGCGCUCAGAGCAGGCUCACUGAAGUGGUAUCUGAGGAAAGAAUGAAGGUCAGGGAGCAAGUCACGCAGCUUUUAAAAGAAGAGCAAUCCAGGCAGAGGACAGAGCCAGGGCAGAGACCACGAGGUGGAAGCACGUCUGAAGAACAGCAAAGAGGCUGAUGCAGCAGGCGCAGAGGAAUCAAGAGAAUGUGUGGUGAGGACAGGGAGAUGGACAGGGACCUGAUCACUUACCAUUUCACAGGUCACUGUAACGGGAAUCCAAGGAGUAAAAUGAUCUGACUUCCAUUUUUAAAGGACCAUUCUCUCAUGUUAAGAACAGACUACAGAGAAGGAAAGACAGAAGUGGGGAGACCUCGUGGGAAUUCAAGCAAAAAUGAAGAUGGCUUGGACCAAAACAGUAACAGCAAGGAAGGCAGCAGUGGCUGGACUCAAGCUCUGCCAUCGAUCCAGCAGCAAGCCCUGUCAACUUUCCUUCAAGAUACACACCUCACUCUACCCUCUUUCCUUCUCCGCUGCCGCCACCCUCAUCCAGAAUACCGUCCUCUCGCAACCUAAACGUCCCUCCAGCCGGCAGCCAGACCAAUCUGCAUGAAAGCCCAACCCUGCUCGACCUGGCCCGGCCUCACUCUGCACCUGACCUUGUGGCACAGCAGCCCCAGGCAAGAGCCACAGUCCCCUGAACCCAGCCACACCGGAGCCCUCCCAGCUCAAACACCAAGCCUCCGCGCACUUCAGACUCUCGGCACAGAUUCCAGUAAGCACUUAGAAACUGAGACGCUUAUCCUAAGCCGUAGGGAUCAGUAUGUCAGUAGCCCCUCCUUCCCAAGCCUCCAGCAGACUUCAGGGCAUCAAUCCCAACAGUCCCUGACUACGCCUAUGUUAUUAAGGUAAUGUUGUAAGCACAUAAAUAUCCAUGUAAGCCUGCCUGAUCUCCUACCUAGACACGUGUGCUUACUCAAAUACACUCUCCACUUCGUAGAUCAAUCAAAACUCCCCAGCUGGACCCCUAGUUGAUCGGCCUGACCACGGAGGAGCUGAAGGUCACUGGGUGCAUUUACAUGUAUGUGUCCAACCGAACAUCCAUCUCUGACUACCUUCCACACAGAAGAGGGAAAAUCUGCUCAACCAAAAUUUACCAUCUCUAAAAUCCACAGUCAGGAGUCCCCUGCUGGCUGAUUACAAAGCUACACUCAAUUUGGUCACGUCCCAGUCCAAACCCCUAACUUCCUAAAAUGAUGGCAAGCAGGGGAAUAACCAAAUGUUUCAAGUAUGGAGAACGAUGACGUCAGAAACCAUGCAAAACUCUAUUUCUCUGUCAGCAGCCAACCCACUACCCCACACCUCUGGUGAGCUCAAAAACUGGAAGAACUGUUAACAGUUUUUCCCUGCUUGAAAGUUGGACACAUCUGGCCCGUACAUAAUUUGGAGAAGGAGAAAGAAUCAAUUUUAGAUAGCUACCAUAUGAUCAUCUUGAUAAAUACUUACUAAACGUUUUAUCACCUAUAUUUACAUAUUUGGGGAGACUACCCUACAUUUAUUACUUAGAACACUUUGUCCAUUAUAUUAUUCAGAAUACUAUCUAUAAUUCAUAUUCCAUGGUUUU
Long non-coding RNA from Physeter macrocephalus (sperm whale), 3096 nucleotides. RefSeq lists it as uncharacterized. The transcript is spliced from 3 exons. NCBI's taxonomy places the organism in Eukaryota, Metazoa, Chordata, Mammalia, Artiodactyla, Physeteridae. The record is from RefSeq and is a predicted model, not a curated record.